Molecule: ribosomal RNA, 423 nt
Filed under: uncultured bacterium
Lineage: Bacteria
Description: bacterial SSU rRNA
Rfam family: Bacterial small subunit ribosomal RNA
Source: RNAcentral
GACGAACGCUGGCGGCGUGCUUAACACAUGCAAGUCGAACGAGAGGACAAGAGAAGCUUGCUUCUUUUGGAAUCGAGUGGCAAACGGGUGAGUAACACGUAAACAACCUGCCUUCAGGAUGGGGACAACAGACGGAAACGACUGCUAAUACCGAAUACGCUUGGGAGACCGCAUGAUCUUCCAAGGAAAGGGUGGCCUCUACUUGUAAGCUAUCGCCUGAAGAGGGGUUUGCGUCUGAUUAGGCAGUUGGUGAGGUAACGGCCCACCAAACCUACGAUCAGUAGCCGGUCUGAGAGGAUGAACGGCCACACUGGAACUGAGACACGGUCCAGACUCCUACGGGAGGCAGCAGUGGGGAAUCUUCCGGCAAUGGGCGAAAGCCUGACGGAGCAACGCCGCGUGAGUGAUGACGGCCUCGGUUGU